Molecule: long non-coding RNA, 639 nt
Organism: Colletes gigas
Lineage: Eukaryota; Metazoa; Arthropoda; Insecta; Hymenoptera; Colletidae
Exons: 3
Source: RefSeq, a predicted model, not a curated record
GUUGAACGUAUAACGUUGCAUACAGACUUCUUUGCAGAUAAAAUUUUCAGUGAAUUUAGGAACAUUUGAUAAUAUGGUUCCAUGGACGGUACACACUAUUGCGAAGCGUGUGACGAGACGGAAAGGAGAUCAACCUUUAAAAGUUUUACAGUCAUUUUACAUUGGUCAAUCAGUGACGUUACAUAUGAUAAUCAUUUAUGUAAUACAGCAGACAAAAUAAUAAUCCAAUAGCGCGUCAAUUCGGGGCAGCGUUAAAGAAAUGCCAUAUUAAUUGGAAAUAAGGAGUAUAGAUAUCUCAAUUCAAGGGAGCGUUUAAGAAAAUGCUAUAUUAAUUAUAUCUGUGACUGAACACUUUAGGGAAUGUUUCGAUGCUACAGUCAUAGACAAGGAAUAGUCUAGAUCUAUCAAUCAAUGGGACUUCGUGCGAGACGAACAGAAAUACCAACUUUGUAAAAAAAACAGUGAUUUUAAAGCGACCUCUUCGUUUAAAAAACGAGUUGCCGCUACUAACGCGUGCAGGAUUGCCAUUUCUUACAAAUACCACUCAGUGAUGCCAGAUUGAGCACCGGGUGCACUACUCACUAUGCCAGAUCACGCGUACGUGAGCUCGUGGAGUUUCGGAGAGUCGACAAAGGCAAA